GACGAACGCUGGCGGCGUGCUUAACACAUGCAAGUCGAACGGGAAGGCCCUGCUUUUGUGGGGUGCUCGAGUUGCGAACGGGUGAGUAACACGUGAGUAACCUGCCCUUGACUGUGGGAUAACUUCAGGAAACUGGGUCUAAUACCGGAUAGGAGCUCCUGCUGCAUGGUGGGGGUUGGAAAGUUUCGGCGGUUGGGGGUGGACUCGCGGCCUAUCAGCUUGUUGGUUGGGUAGUGGCUUACCAAGGCUUUGCCGGGUAGCCGGCCUGAGAGGGUGAGCGGACACACUGGGAUUGAGAUACGGCCCAGACUACUACGGGAGGGAGGGGUGGGGAAUAGUGCACUAGGGGCGGAACGCUAAUGUAGUCACGCAGCGCCGGGGAUGACGGCCUGGGGUUUGUGAACCGCAUUCGUCUGUGACGAAGCGUGAGUGACAGUAAUGGGUAAAGAAGCACCGGCUAACUCCGUG
This 468-nucleotide ribosomal RNA is filed under the name uncultured bacterium. RNAcentral describes it as "partial 16S ribosomal RNA". It matches the Rfam family "Bacterial small subunit ribosomal RNA", at positions 28 to 507 of the family's 1533-position model. The record is from RNAcentral.